This 497-nucleotide ribosomal RNA is filed under the name uncultured bacterium. RNAcentral describes it as "partial 16S ribosomal RNA". It matches the Rfam family "Bacterial small subunit ribosomal RNA", at positions 28 to 507 of the family's 1533-position model. The record is from RNAcentral.
GAUGAACGCUGGCGGCGUGCCUAAUACAUGCAAGUCGAGCGAACAGACGAGGAGCUUGCUCCUCUGACGUUAGCGGCGGACGGGUGAGUAACACGUGGAUAACCUACCUAUAAGACUGGGAUAACUUCGGGAAACCGGAUCUAAUACCGUAUAAUAUAUUGAACCGCAUGGUUCAAUAGUGAAAGACGGUUUUGCUGUCACUUAUAGAUGGAUCCGCGCCGCAUUAGCUAGUUGGUAAGGUAACGGCUUACCAAGGCAACGAUGCGUAGCCGACCUGAGAGGGUGAUCGGCCACACUGGAACUGAGACACGGUCCAGACUCCUACGGGAGGCAGCAGUAGGGAAUCUUCCGCAAUGGGCGAAAGCCUGACGGAGCAACGCCGCGUGAGUGAUGAAGGUCUUCGGAUCGUAAAACUCUGUUAUUAGGGAAGAACAAAUGUGUAAGUAACUAUGCACGUCUUGACGGUACCUAAUCAGAAAGCCACGGCUAACUACGUG